UUAAUAGAAGCCAAAGAGAGGCCUUUCAUUGUUAAUGAAAAUACUGAUUAUUCCUAUUAAG
RNAcentral lists this transfer RNA (61 nucleotides) under Amblyomma fimbriatum (goanna tick). Its description in RNAcentral is "tRNA-Asn". Lineage: Eukaryota; Metazoa; Arthropoda; Arachnida; Ixodida; Ixodidae. The record is from RNAcentral.